Molecule: small RNA, 1230 nt
Filed under: Pan troglodytes (chimpanzee)
Lineage: Eukaryota; Metazoa; Chordata; Mammalia; Primates; Hominidae
Description: processed transcript
Source: RNAcentral
AACUUUAGACCAUGCCAGAUGGUAACGCUGGAGGUGUAGCAAGCUAGGUUUCUCUGCCACAAGUGCUCUAAUUUAAUUAAAACUAAAAACAGAUUAGCAGAAAAUCUGUCAGUAUGCCUUCCUUUUGUGUGUGUAUAUAUGUAUAUGUGAGACAAAUCUAAUAAUUUCUUGGGUUAUUUUUAUUCAGGGCAUAUUUAUUUAGCACUUAAAAGUGACUUGCAUUUUUUUAAUACCUCAAAUUUUGUCUUAUUGGUAUCCUCCACCAAUGCAAGGACUUGAUGGAAAUUGAAAGAGGUUACUUACAGCAUAAACCCUCCCUCUGUGCUCUGUGAGUUGGUUCAGUCCUAUUUUGCAUAAGUUCCUUUUGAGUAGAUCCAUGUGUGAAUGCAUAGUACUGAAGACUUACUCCCUUUGCCUGUGUGGAUAUAUGUCUUGGAGAGAGACUGUGUGCAUUAGCUACAAAUAGUAACAUUUUCAAAAUCAACAUGUAUUGUGCUUAUCCUGUCCCUGGAAUGGGCAGCAAUUCUUUGAUGUAUUACUACAAUGGGAAAACGGUAUAUGCACCAUCCCCAAAUUCAGAUGAUUUCAACCGUGAAUCUCCUAGUUAUCCAUCUCCUAAGCCACCAACCAGUAUGUUCGCUAGCACUUUCUUUAUGCAAGAGUUAUCCUCCACACUCAGUUUCACCAACAGACAUAAACACGAGUCUUCCACCAAUGUCCAGCUUUCAUCGUGGCAGUACCAGCAGUUCACCUUACGUUGCUGCCUCACACACUCCUCCCAUCAAUGGAUCAGACAGCAUUCUAGGAACCAGAGGGAAUGCUGCUGGAAGCUCACAGACAGGUGAUGCACUUGGAAAGGCUUUGGCAUCUAUUUAUUCUCCUGACCAUACCAGCAGUAGUUUUCCGUCAAAUCCAUCAACACCAGUUGGAUCACCUUCACCUCUCACAGGUACCAGUCAGUGGCCAAGACCUGGAGGGCAAGCACCUUCAUCCCCAAGCUAUGAAAACUCACUCCACUCCCUGCAGUCUCGAAUGGAGGAUCGUUUAGACAGACUGGAUGAUGCAAUCCAUGUGCUGCGGAACCAUGCUGUGGGACCUUCCACCAGUUUGCCUGCUGGUCACAGUGAUAUACAUAGUUUAUUGGGACCAUCCCAUAAUGCACCAAUUGGAAGCCUCAAUUCAAACUAUGGAGGAUCAAGCCUUGUUGCAAGCAGUCGAUCAGCUUCAAUG